Molecule: microRNA precursor, 80 nt
Filed under: Tursiops truncatus (common bottlenose dolphin)
Lineage: Eukaryota; Metazoa; Chordata; Mammalia; Artiodactyla; Delphinidae
Description: miRNA (ENSTTRG00000025190.1)
Source: RNAcentral
AUUGGGCUGUCCAAAAAGUUCGUUCAGGUUUUUGGUACAAUGCUGCCAAAAACCCAAAAGAACUUCUUGGCCAACCCAAU